AUACGGAGGAUGCAAGCGUUAUCCGGAUUUAUUGGGUUUAAAGGGUGCGUAGGCUGUUCGGAAAGUCAGGGGUGAAAGCCCGGCGCCUGACGCCGGAACUGCCUUUGAUACUUCCGAGCUGGAAUACGGAUGCCGUGGGCGGAAUGAGUAGUGUAGCGGUGAAAUGCAUAGAUAUUACUCAGAACACCGAUUGCGAAGGCAUCUCACGAAUCCGUCAUUGACGCUGAGGCACGAAAGCGUGGGGAUCAAACAGGAUUAGAUACCCUGGUAGUCCACGCAGUAAACGAUGAUGACUAACCGUCGGCGAUACACAGUCGGUGGCCAAGCGAAAGCGAUAAGUCAUCCACCUGGGGAGUACGUUCGCAAGAAUGAAACUCAAAGGAAUUGACGGGG
RNAcentral lists this ribosomal RNA (393 nucleotides) under uncultured bacterium. Its description in RNAcentral is "partial 16S ribosomal RNA". It matches the Rfam family "Bacterial small subunit ribosomal RNA", at positions 523 to 918 of the family's 1533-position model. The record is from RNAcentral.